RNAcentral lists this ribosomal RNA (253 nucleotides) under uncultured bacterium. RNAcentral describes it as "partial 16S ribosomal RNA". It matches the Rfam family "Bacterial small subunit ribosomal RNA", at positions 524 to 776 of the family's 1533-position model. The record is from RNAcentral.
UACGAAGGGGGCUAGCGUUACUCGGAUUGACUGGGCGUAAAGGGCGCGUAGGCGGCUUGUACAGUCAGGCGUGAAAUUCCUGGGCUCAACCUGGGGGCUGCGUUUGAUACGUGCGGGCUUGAGUUCGGAAGAGGGUCGUGGAAUUCCCAGUGUAGAGGUGAAAUUCGUAGAUAUCGGGAGGAACACCAGUGGCGAAGGCGGCGAUCUGGGAAGAUACUGACGCUGAGGUGCGAAAGCGUGGGGAGCAAACAGG